RNAcentral lists this ribosomal RNA (266 nucleotides) under uncultured prokaryote. Its description in RNAcentral is "partial 16S ribosomal RNA". It matches the Rfam family "Bacterial small subunit ribosomal RNA", at positions 524 to 789 of the family's 1533-position model. The record is from RNAcentral.
GACGGAGGAGGCAAGCAUUGUCCGGAAUUAUUGGGCGUAAAGAACACGUAGGCGGUUUAUCAAGUCAUAUGUGAAAACCUUGGGCUUAACUUAAGGAUUGCAUAUGAUACUGGUAAACUAGAGUAUAGUAGAGGAAAGCGGAAUUCCUGGUGUAGCGGUGAAAUGCGCAGAUAUCAGGAAGAACACCAGUGGCGAAAGCGGCUUUCUGGACUGUUACUGACGCUGAGGUGUGAAAGCUAGGGGAGCGAACAGGAUUAGAUACCCGU